GGCGCGCGGGCGGCGGUUGGAGGAGCUGGCCUUCCCCUCCCGCGAGUGACGAGGCGGAGUCUGCGGUUGGGCGGAGGGCGUUGCUGAGGGCCCCUCCCCUUGUUGUGGUCCUCUCCAUCCGCCUGGAUGAAGCCGCCCUGAGCGCGCGGGGGGGGGACUGGAUCCCUGGGGGACAAGUUCGGGGUUUGGAGCCGGGAAGUCCUGCAGCAGAGGUGGCCGGGGAGGGGGCUGCCCGGUGACUGCAUCUCCCUUCCCCUGGCAUAGCGGGGGCCACGAGAGAGGGAAGUCCCCCCCCCAGGCCCUGAGAGGUUCUGUUAUCUACCUGGAACAUAUUGAGGGACGAGAACAAAUGGAACUACAGGGCUCUAUGAACAUCUAGAGAAACAAUAUAGGUAAUUAUAUAUCUUUUAUUUUAACAACAAGCUAUGCUCAAAUAACAUUGUGAGGGAUCCCCCCAG
This 458-nucleotide long non-coding RNA is filed under the name Gopherus agassizii (Agassiz's desert tortoise). RNAcentral's name for it is "lncRNA (ENSGAGG00000019378.1)". The record is from RNAcentral. Lineage: Eukaryota; Metazoa; Chordata; Testudines; Testudinidae.